GCGGUUUUAGCUCAGUGGAAAAAAACUAACGAGUGACUGCCUUACAAGCAGAUGGUCGGGAGUUCGACUCUCCCAAACCGUA
This 82-nucleotide transfer RNA is filed under the name Chroomonas mesostigmatica CCMP1168. Its description in RNAcentral is "tRNA-Val". It matches the Rfam family "tRNA". Rfam says of the family: Transfer RNA (tRNA) molecules are approximately 80 nucleotides in length. Their secondary structure includes four short double-helical elements and three loops (D, anti-codon, and T loops). Lineage: Eukaryota; Cryptophyceae; Pyrenomonadales; Chroomonadaceae. The record is from RNAcentral.